GUGGGAGGGGGCUUGCUCCCGAUGGCGGUUUGUCAGUCGCCUCAUCAGUUGACUGAUCCACCGCUAUCGGGAGCAAGCCCCCUCCCAC
RNAcentral lists this unclassified non-coding RNA (88 nucleotides) under Pseudomonas marginalis. The record is from RNAcentral. Lineage: Bacteria; Pseudomonadati; Pseudomonadota; Gammaproteobacteria; Pseudomonadales; Pseudomonadaceae.